GACGUAGGGCGCGAGCGUUGUCCUGAUUUAUUGGGCGUAAAGAGCUCGUAGGCGGCUUGUCGCGUCAACUGUGAAAACCCGUGGCUCAACCAUGUGGUCUGCAGUCGAUACGGGCAGGCUAGAAUUCGGUAGGGGAGACUGGAAUUCCUGGUGUAGCGGUGAAAUGCGCAGAUAUCAGGAGGAACACCGGUGGCGAAGGCGGGUCUCUGGGCCGAUAUUGACGCUGAGGAGCGAAAGCGUGGGGAGCGAACAGG
RNAcentral lists this ribosomal RNA (254 nucleotides) under uncultured bacterium. RNAcentral describes it as "partial 16S ribosomal RNA". It matches the Rfam family "Bacterial small subunit ribosomal RNA", at positions 524 to 776 of the family's 1533-position model. The record is from RNAcentral.